RNAcentral lists this ribosomal RNA (1387 nucleotides) under Porphyromonas sp. k30. RNAcentral describes it as "bacterial SSU rRNA". It matches the Rfam family "Bacterial small subunit ribosomal RNA", at positions 56 to 1430 of the family's 1533-position model. Lineage: Bacteria; Pseudomonadati; Bacteroidota; Bacteroidia; Bacteroidales; Porphyromonadaceae. The record is from RNAcentral.
UGCAAGUCGAGGGGCAUCGGGGAGUAGCAAUACUCUGCCGGCGACCGGCGCACGGGUGCGUAACGCGUAUGCAACUUACCUUACAGAGGGGGAUAACCCGUUGAAAGACGGACUAACACCGCAUAUACUUUUUUUAUUGCAUGAUAAAGGAAGGAAAUAUUUAUAGCUGUAAGAUAGGCAUGCGUCCCAUUAGCUAGUUGGUAGGGGUAACGGCUCACCAAGGCAACGAUGGGCUAGGGGAACUGAGAGGUUUAUGCUCCCACAUUUGUACCUGAGAUCCUGACGAGACUCGUACGGGAGGCAGCAAGUGAUGCAUAUUGGUCAAUGGUCGAGAGCCUGAAUCAGCCUAGUCGCGUGAAGGAUGAAUGGUCUUAUGGAUUGUAAACUUCUUUUGCGGGACGAAUCACGGGCGCUACGAGUAGUGUUAUGAAUGUAUCCCAGCGAAUAAGCAUCGGCUAACUCCGUGCCAGCAGCCGCGGUAAUACGGAGGAUGCGAGCGUUAUCCGGAUUUAUUGGGUUUAAAGGGUGCGUAGGCGGCUUUUUAAGUCAGCGGUGAAAGGUUCGGGCUCAACCCGGACAUUGCCGUUGAAACUGGGGAGCUUGAGUAUGGAUGAGGUAGGCGGAAUGCGUGGUGUAGCGGUGAAAUGCAUAGAUAUCACGCAGAACUCCGAUUGCGAAGGCAGCUUACUAAGGCAUUUCUGACGCUGAAGCACGAAAGCGUGGGUAUCAAACAGGAUUAGAUACCCUGGUAGUCCACGCAGUAAACGAUGAUUACUGGGCGUAUGCGAUAUAUAGUAUGCUCCUGAGUGAAAGCGUUAAGUAAUCCACCUGGGGAGUACGCCGGCAACGGUGAAACUCAAAGGAAUUGACGGGGGCCCGCACAAGCGGAGGAACAUGUGGUUUAAUUCGAUGAUACGCGAGGAACCUUACCCGGGAUUGAAAUGUAGGCGACAGGGGAUGAAAGUCCUUUUCCCUUCGGGGCGUCUAUGUAGGUGCUGCAUGGUUGUCGUCAGCUCGUGCCGUGAGGUGUCGGCUUAAGUGCCAUAACGAGCGCAACCCACAUUGGUAGUUACUAACAGUUUAAGCUGAGGACUCUACCGAGACUGCCGGCGUAAGCCGCGAGGAAGGUGUGGAUGACGUCCAAUUCAGCACGGUCGUUACAUUCGGGGCGACACUACGUGUUACAAUGGUGGGGACAAAGGGCAGCUACCUGGCGACAGGAUGCUAAUCUCCAAACCCCAUCCCAGUUCGGAUCGGAGUCUGCAACUCGACUCCGUGAAGCUGGAUUCGCUAGUAAUCGCGCAUCAGCCAUGGCGCGGUGAAUACGUUCCCGGGCCUUGUACACACCGCCCGUCAAGCCAUGGGAGUCUGGAGUACCUAAAGUCCG